This 253-nucleotide ribosomal RNA is filed under the name uncultured bacterium. RNAcentral's name for it is "partial 16S ribosomal RNA". It matches the Rfam family "Bacterial small subunit ribosomal RNA", at positions 524 to 776 of the family's 1533-position model. The record is from RNAcentral.
UACAGAGGGUGCGAGCGUUAAUCGGAAUUACUGGGCGUAAAGCGUGCGUAGACGGUUAUUUAAGUCGGGUGUGAAAGCCCCGGGCUCAACCUGGGAAUUGCAUUCGAGACUGCAUUGCUGGAGUACGGAAGAGGAAGGCGGAAUUCCCGGUGUAGCGGUGAAAUGCGUAGAUAUCGGGAGGAACAUCAGUGGCGAAGGCGGCCUUCUGGUCCAGUACUGACACUCAAGUGCGAAAGCGUGGGGAGCAAACAGG